UGGUCAAGUUAUUAAGGGUGCAGGGCGGAUGCCUUGGCACUAGGAGCCGAUGAAGGACGUGAUAAGCUGCGAUAAGCUUCGGGGAGUUGCACGUAAACUUUGAUCCGAAGAUUUCCGAAUGAGGAAACUCACUUAGAGUAAUGUCUAAGUAUCAUUAAGUGAAUACAUAGCUUAAUGAGGGGAACUCAGGGAACUGAAACAUCUAAGUACCUGAAGGAAGAGAAAGAAAUUCGAUUCCGUAAGUAGCGGCGAGCGAACGCGGAUUAGCCCAAACCAAUAAAGUUUUCUUUAUUGGGGUUGCGGACAUAUCAUAACGGAGAGGUAUCGUAAUUGAAGAGGUUUGGAAAGACCCACCACAGAAGGUAAUAGUCCUGUAUGUUAAACGAGAAGACUUUAGAUAUGAUCCAGAGUACCACGGGACACGUGAAACCCUGUGGGAAGCAGGAGGGACCACCCUCCAAGGCUAAAUACUACCUAGUGACCGAUAGCGUAUAGUACCGUGAGGGAAAGGUGAAAAGAACCCCGGGAGGGGAGUGAAAUAGAACCUGAAACCCUGCACUUACAAGCUGUGGAAGCACAUUUCUUGUGUGACCGCGUACUUUUUGUAGAACGGGCCAACGAGUUACGUUAAGUAGCAAGGUUAAGCACUUAAGGUGUGGAGCCGUAGCGAAAGCGAGUUUUAACUGAGCGUUCAGUUACUUGACGUAGACCCGAAACCGGGCGACCUACCCAUGAGCAGGAUGAAGCGAAAGUAAAAUUUCGUGGAGGUCCGAACCCACGAGCGUUGAAAAGCUCGGGGAUGACUUGUGGGUAGCGGUGAAAUUCCAAUCGAGCCCGGAGAUAGCUGGUUCUCCCCGAAAUAGCUUUAGGGCUAGCCUCAAGGUGAGAGAUACGGAGGUAGAGCACUGAAUGUCCUAGGGGGUAUUGCACCUACCGAAGACUAUCAAACUCCGAAUGCCGUCAUCUUAUACUUGGGAGUCAGACUGUGGGUGAUAAGAUUCAUAGUCGAAAGGGCAACAGCCCAGAUCGUCAGCUAAGGUCCCUAAAUGUAAGUUAAGUGGUAAAGGAUGUGGGAUUGCACAGACAACCAGGAUGUUGGCUUAGAAGCAGCCACUCAUUCAAAGAGUGCGUAAUAGCUCACUGGUCGAGUGAUCCUGCGCCGAAGAUUUCCGGGGCUAAAACUUACUACCGAAGCUACGGCAUCAGUAAUGAUGGUAGGGGAGCUUCCCAUACGGGUUGAAGCAUGACCGUAAGGACAUGUGGACAGUAUGGGAGUGAGAAUGUUGGCAUGAGUAGCGAGAUGUGGGUGAGAAUCCCACAGGCCGUAAACCCAAGGUUUCCAGGGGGAAGGUUCGUCCGCCCUGGGUUAGUCGGGACCUAAGCUGAGGCCGAAAGGCGUAGGUGAUGGACAACAGGUUGAUAUUCCUGUACUACCGAUAACCGUUUGAGAGAAGGGAUGACACAGUAGGAUAAGCUAAGCACACUGUUGGUUAUGUGUGCCCAAGCAUUGAGGCAGUCAAAGUAGGCAAAUCCGCUUUGAUAAUGCUGGGAUGUGAUGGGGAGCGAAAUUUAGUAGCGAAGUAGCUGAUUUCACACUGUCAAGAAAAGUCUCUAUCGAGGUUAAAGGUACCCGUACCGCAAACCGACACAGGUGGGUGAGGAGAGUAUCCUAAGGCCAGCGAGAGAACUGUUGUUAAGGAACUCGGCAAAAUGACCCCGUAACUUAGGGAUAAGGGGUGCCACCAUCAGGUGGCCGCAGAGAAUAGGCCCAAGCGACUGUUUACCAAAAACAUAGGUUUCUGCUAAGUCGCAAGACGAUGUAUAGGAGCUGACGCCUGCCCGGUGCUGGAAGGUUAAGGGGAUCUGUUAGAGCAAUCGAAGCAGUGAACUUAAGCCCCAGUAAACGGCGGCCGUAACUAUAACGGUCCUAAGGUAGCGAAAUUCCUUGUCGGGUAAGUUCCGACCCGCACGAAAGGCGUAACGAUUUGGGCACUGUCUCAACAACAGACUCGGUGAAAUUGUAAUUCCGGUGAAGAUGCCGGAUACCUGCGACAGGACGGAAAGACCCCAUGGAGCUUUACUGUAGCUUGACAUUGGGUCUUGGUACUACAUGUACAGGAUAGGUGGGAGGCUUUGAAACCAGGACGCCAGUUUUGGCGGAGCCAUCCUUGGGAUACCACCCUUGUAGUACUGGGACUCUAACCAUAGGCCAUGAAUCUGGUCUUGGGACACUGUCAGGUGGGCAGUUUGACUGGGGCGGUCGCCUCCCAAAAGGUAACGGAGGCGCUCAAAGGUUCUCUCAGUACGGUCGGAAAUCGUACGUAGAGUGUAAAGGCAAAAGAGAGCUUGAUUGCAAGACAUACAGGUCGAGCAAGGAUGAAAAUCGGACUUAGUGAUCCGGUGGUUCUGCGUGGAAGGGCCAUCGCUCAACGGAUAAAAGCUACCCUGGGGAUAACAGGCUUAUCUCCCCCAAGAGUCCACAUCGACGGGGAGGUUUGGCACCUCGAUGUCGGCUCAUCACAUCCUGGGGCUGUAGUAGGUCCCAAGGGUUGGGCUGUUCGCCCAUUAAAGUGGUACGCGAGCUGGGUUCAGAACGUCGUGAGACAGUUCGGUCCCUAUCCGUCGCAGGCGUAGGAAAUUUGAGAAGACCUGUCCUUAGUACGAGAGGACCGGGAUGGACGUACCUCUGGUGUACCAGUUGUCCUGCCAAGGGCAUGGCUGGGUAGCUAUGUACGGAAUGGAUAAGCGCUGAAAGCAUCUAAGCGCGAAGCCAACUUCAAGAUAAGAUUUCCCACCGCAAGGGUAAGACCCCAGAAAGACUAUCUGGUUGAUAGGUCGAAGGUGUAAGUGCAGCAAUGUAUUUAGCUUAUCGAUACUAAUAGGUCGAGGACUUGACCAAU
RNAcentral lists this ribosomal RNA (2900 nucleotides) under Clostridioides difficile. RNAcentral describes it as "23S ribosomal RNA". It matches the Rfam family "Bacterial large subunit ribosomal RNA". Lineage: Bacteria; Bacillati; Bacillota; Clostridia; Peptostreptococcales; Peptostreptococcaceae. The record is from RNAcentral.